This 947-nucleotide small RNA is filed under the name Oryza sativa Japonica Group (Japanese rice). The record is from RNAcentral. Lineage: Eukaryota; Viridiplantae; Streptophyta; Magnoliopsida; Poales; Poaceae.
AGCCCCUUGAUGACUCGAUCCCUCAGAUUUUCCUAUACGGGGCUCGAAUUUUCCAGAGGGGCUAGAUCCCGGAGAUCUUGAGUCGCUUCGCCUACUCAUCCGUGAGGCGCAGCGAAUAACACUCUCCAAGAUUAUCCCUUGAUUGAGUUUCUUUUUUCCCUUCAUUUUUACUUGGUUUCUUUGGUAUAGGCUGACCCGUGAUGGCAUGAAUCUUUGAGACCUGAGAAUUUUCUUCCUUGAUGAAAAUCACAAGCAUGAUCCCUGAGGGCCUUAGACUGACUCUUCUUUUUUUUCCUUCAUCUAUUCUUUUAAUCAAACAUCUGUUUUGUUAUGGUAUUAUGAAUGAUGAAAUGCACUGGGCUCCGAGCAGUGAAUUACGCUGCGUUUUGAUGGAUAUGCAUUUGCCUAGAAAGCAUUGACUGACACUUUACCACCUACGAACAAUAUCAGCAUCAUCUAUACCUAAGAUCGGCAUUGUUUAUAGUAUGGGGUAAUUUUUUUCUUAGAUUGAAACUGUGAACCACAGCUCCUUAAGGCUGCAUUGUACCAAGAUUAGGGUUCUACCUUUGCCCUCGUCUUGAUUGCCAUUACAGGCUGUAGCCAAAUUAAUUAACGUGGAAGUAAAACUGGUCGGGUUGCCAAUUGAUUCCAUGGGCAUUCCGCUUACCGAACUUCCCAUAUUGCCAUAUGUUGUUUUAACUGAUUUUGAGUUCUCAAUCUACUGCGAGGGGUAGUGGAGGGGAAUGGUUCAUGUGUCUGCCAUUCUUGGUACACCCUCGCGAACAGCAAUAUCCUGCCGCUUUCUUCCUCCGUUUAGGAUUUGCAAUGAUCUGCUUUCAACUCCCUUCUGAUCGUUUUAUAUCCUGCGAGGAAGAUUGUGGCGGGUGGUUCAUCAUCCGGGCAACCUGAUGUUAAUGUCGCAGGUUGCGUCAUUGAUGUUUACAUUU